Molecule: unclassified non-coding RNA, 351 nt
Filed under: soil metagenome
Description: partial contains 5.8S ribosomal RNA, internal transcribed spacer 2, and large subunit ribosomal RNA
Rfam family: 5.8S ribosomal RNA (bases 1-120)
Source: RNAcentral
GAUGAAGAACGCAGCGAAACGCGAUAUGUAAUGUGAAUUGCAGAAUUCAGUGAAUCAUCGAAUCUUUGAACGCACAUGGCGCCUUCCAGUAUCCUGGGAGGCAUGUCUGUCCGAGCGUCGUUUCAACCCUCGAGCCCCCGUGGCCCGGCGUUGGGGAUCUGCCACGGCAGGCCCCUAAAACCAGUGGCGGACCCGAAGGCCCUCUCCUUUGCGCAGUAGCAUCAGCCUCGCAUUGGGAUCCCUCGGCGUCCUGCCUCUAAACCCCCCACAAGUCCGCUCCGGCGGCACCAAGGUUGACCUCGGAUCAGGUAGGAAUACCCGCUGAACUUAAGCAUAUCAAUAAGCGGAGGA